Molecule: ribosomal RNA, 253 nt
Filed under: uncultured bacterium
Lineage: Bacteria
Description: partial 16S ribosomal RNA
Rfam family: Bacterial small subunit ribosomal RNA
Source: RNAcentral
UACGUAGGGGGCGAGCGUUGUCCGGAAUCAUUGGGCGUAAAGCGCGUGUAGGCGGCCCGGUAAGUCCGCUGUGAAAGUCCAGGGCUCAACCGUGGGAUGCCGGUGGAUACUGUCGGGCUCGAGUCCGGAAGAGGCGAGUGGAAUUCCUGGUGUAGCGGUGAAAUGCGCAGAUAUCAGGAGGAACACCGGUGGCGAAGGCGGAUCUCUGGGCCUUACCUGACGCUCUGGCACGAAAGCUAGGGGAGCGAACAGG